Molecule: long non-coding RNA, 1556 nt
Filed under: Homo sapiens (human)
Lineage: Eukaryota; Metazoa; Chordata; Mammalia; Primates; Hominidae
Description: HSALNT0159004
Source: RNAcentral
ACCCACCUCAGCCUCCCAAAGCACUGGGAUUACAGUUGUGAGCCACCACGCCCAGCCGAGUCCGUUUUGUUUAAGGCAUGUGAGCAACCUCAAAAAUCCAUGCCAAGUGGGGAGCAAAGGAAGCUCAUUUCACCCCCACACCUCCAUUUAUCUUCUAAACUAAUUUUCACCCAACUCAAGGUCUGGGUCCUUGUGAAGACAUUUAAGUUUGCAAGAGGCACGUGGGUAAUGACUGGUGGAUUAUUAAUAAAAUACAGAAUAAUAAAACCAGGACAUGGCCAAGCAUCUGCAGCUGUGUGGACCAAUGAAAAUCUGAAAUCUUUCUGGUUUAUGGGCGCUUGAUCCUCCUUUGGCUUUGUGGGGCUGGGGGGGACAGAUGUGGAGUGGAGGAUGAGGGUGGGAAACUGGAAUCUGAUCAUGUUACAUGCCCAAGGGCUCUCACUGAAAGUAGGCCUCACCAUCUUCCCCAUUGCACCUCUGAACCAUGUCAUUACAUGUCUACCUUAGAAAGGCCUGAAAUUAAAAAAUAAUAAUAAAUAAAAAAUAAAUUCAAAAACCACUCCAUAAGAAGCUGAAAAUCUGUACUUCACAUUUCUUUCCCUGAGCCCUGAGGUGGUCUAAGUCUUCCUUCAUUCAUUCCCACGGCCUCCCGGGAACCGUGUCUUCAUCCUGAGUUAUUUCUGCAGUGUUCCAUCAGGCAUCUGCGGGUCUUUAAAGGAAAUGUGAAAAGGUAGCAAAGACACAUCUGUGCAGCAGAGACAUGUGGCACAGGAAAGAAGUGCAGAAAUCAAAGCCAGGGAGAAGCCUGCUAGCCACCUAGAAAUCAAAUUGUGUCAGGGAGAAAGCCUGCGUGGAAAAUAGAUUAGAAAGGCACUGAACAAGAGAGAAGAAAGAAAGGCAGCCCCUGCAAAAGUUAAUGAGAAGCAGAGGAGGCCGGGAGAAGCAGCCUGAAUUUGAAAAGAGUCCUGCACUGCUUGAGGAAGGACUCAAGAUUCAGUAAGUUCUAUCGACUUCUGCCUGGGUAAUGCGGUGGCCGUCCACCUGCAUGUCCCUCUUUGCUCACCACGCUCAAACUGGGGGCUGCAGGCUCUGAAAGAAAACCAGGGAGGAGGGAGACAUGAAAGGAAUGGGAACGCAGGCCUAGGACUUCAGAUGAGAGGGGACCCUCCAUCCACAGCGCCAUCCUUCAUCUGACCUCCAGCCCCGUCCUGACUCUGUAACUACUAGGCCUGGUGCCAACAGGGCUGGUGAAAUUGGUGGGAACUGCGAUAAUGAUACCUGCCUGGACAACCCCGAAUGUUGAAAGAGACGGCAUAGGUACAGGAACUGGCAGAGUGGGGCUCCACAAAGAGCGACCUGUUAUUAUUAAAUGUAGAAGCAGGUGGAAGUGGCCUCUGAGCCUUUCCAUUUUCUUUUGAGACGGAGUCUCACUCUGUCGCCCAGGCUGGAGUGCAGUGGCACAAUCUCGGCUCACUGCAACCUCCACCUCCCGGGUUCAAGCGAUUCUCGUGUCUCAGCCUCUCAAGUAGCUCGGUCUAUAGGCGCGCGCCACCAUG